This 163-nucleotide ribosomal RNA is filed under the name Illicium henryi. Its description in RNAcentral is "5.8S ribosomal RNA". It matches the Rfam family "5.8S ribosomal RNA". Rfam says of the family: 5.8S ribosomal RNA (5.8S rRNA) is a component of the large subunit of the eukaryotic ribosome. It is transcribed by RNA polymerase I as part of the 45S precursor that also contains 18S and 28S rRNA. Functionally, it is thought that 5.8S rRNA may be involved in ribosome translocation. RNAcentral also lists the same sequence under 15 other names. The record is from RNAcentral. Lineage: Eukaryota; Viridiplantae; Streptophyta; Magnoliopsida; Austrobaileyales; Schisandraceae.
AGAUGACUCUCGGCAACGGAUAUCUAGGCUCUUGCCACGAUGAAGAACGUAGCGAAAUGCGAUACUUGGUGUGAAUUGCAGAAUCCCGUGAACCAUCAAGUUUUUGAACGCAAGUUGCGCCCGAGGCCACCAGGCCAAGGGCACGCCUGCCUGGGCGUCACGC